AUUCCUGCCUAAUCAAGGCCUACAGCAGUAAUGGGCUUUCUCACAUCUGCUACCCAUAUCUGGACUAUUUGAGCCCCCAGACAGCUUCAAAAGUUAUAACGGUUGAACUCCACAGAUGAGAAAAUAGAAAGUGAAAAGAGAAGAGAGAACAAGUCAAAACAAUCAAUUCAAAGCAAGCUGCUUUUGAAAAGAUCAACAUUAAAUGUCUUCAGAAGACUUCAUCUCAAAGUUUUGACACAGGCAAACUCUAAAAUCCCGGAAUAUACAGCAGAAAAGAAGUCAGCAGCCUUUGUCAACAAGCAGCACAUAAAUGGGAAUUAUUUCAGUGGCAUCAAAAUUUUAACCUCUGUGACUGUGCCUUUCUAGGGAUAAUUUGAGUUGCUCACGGACCGGCACUUUUUUGUGUGCUCAUGCAAGGCCUCCUGUUCUUCCAGUUUCCCUUAUCAUGUCGGCUGCCACCAACCUUUCUGAUUGUAUCCUGAAGGAAUUUCUCAAUGC
Long non-coding RNA from Gallus gallus (chicken), 498 nucleotides. The record is from Ensembl. NCBI's taxonomy places the organism in Eukaryota, Metazoa, Chordata, Aves, Galliformes, Phasianidae.